Coccinella septempunctata (seven-spotted ladybird) is the source of this 262-nucleotide long non-coding RNA. RefSeq lists it as uncharacterized. The record is from RefSeq and is a predicted model, not a curated record. The transcript is spliced from 3 exons. NCBI's taxonomy places the organism in Eukaryota, Metazoa, Arthropoda, Insecta, Coleoptera, Coccinellidae.
GAUAAAUGGUGUAUAACAGAGGAAAAUCCUCCCUCUCUAUGUGGAAAUUCAUCUUCAUCGCUGGUCGGAAACGUGUCACGUUUCAUCCCUCCGGUUACCCAGGAAUCGUGGGAGCUGCAACAGGUGGAAAGCCUCCAACAGCUCGACGUGGGGGCUCAAUGGACUGGUGUGACCUGGCUGUACGGACGCUGAGACUCUCGGAUCCGGUAUGAGACUUGCAGGUAGACGGUGUUUUCUUCAGGUAAACAGUGUUAAAUUGACG